Molecule: long non-coding RNA, 1345 nt
Filed under: Triticum aestivum (bread wheat)
Lineage: Eukaryota; Viridiplantae; Streptophyta; Magnoliopsida; Poales; Poaceae
Description: long non-coding RNA (TAES_LNC008081)
Rfam family: MIR5062 microRNA precursor family (bases 116-273)
Source: RNAcentral
UGCCCAUGUUUUUUUUACCAUAUGUAACUGGAUGCAAUUAUGUGCAAGUUAUAUGUGGUCACUGGAUUGCAUGUAACUCUGUACAUGCUUGUGAACCAAGUACAAGUAAGGUUCACGUAGCUUCUUGAACCUUAGGGAACAGCCGCAUAACACCAUUAACUUGAAAACCACUUACCUUAUCCCAAAACUGCUCCUACCACAAUAUAAGGGGUAAGGAAUGGUUUUUGGUUUGUGAGGUCAUGCGGAUUUUUCACCAAGGUUCAAGUGGUUAUCUGGAUCUUUUGACUUAAGUGCAUAUGAACCAUGUGGCAGGUUAGCAAUUACCAGUUUAAUUAUAUCUAACUUCACAUAAGCAUCUAGUAAUACUUGUAUAGAUCCUGAAUCCUGUAAAUUAUGAAUGAAGUUCCACCCCAUACUACUGCUUAUAGCUGCCAUAUAUAUACCUAGCGUUUUAUUGCCCAUGUUUUUCUUACCAUAUGUAACUGGAUGCAAUUAUGUGCAAGUUAUAUGUGGUCACUGGAUUGCAUGUAACUCUGUACAUGCUUGUGAACCAAGUACAAGUAAGGUUCACGUAGCUUCUUGAACCUUAGGGAACAGCCGCAUAACACCAUUAACUUGAAAACCACUUACCUUAUCCCAAAACUGCUCCUACCACAAUAUAAGGUUUAAGGAAUGGUUUUUAGUUUGUGAGGUCAUGCGGAUUUUUCACCAAAGGUUCAAGUGGUUAUCUGGAUCUUUUGACUUAAGUGCAUAUGAACCAUGUGCAUGCUUUCACAUACUUUUCCAGUAUUGCGAUUUAUUCAAGGCCAAAUAAAAACCUCCACAGAAAUAUAAAGUUCUAGGAAGGUACACAUAACCUCUAGAAAGUUGCAUAGAACCAUUUAAUUUUGAACCCCAUUUUUUAUCCCAAAGUUGCUCUGCAGAACAGUUUAAGGGGUACACUAUAUGGUUUGAGGUUGUGGUUAUUCAUCAAAAUUGGAGUGUAUCCAAAUAUUUUUGGAAGAACUUUGAAUUAUAUAUGUACAUAUGGGCUGCAAGAAUGUGUGAGACAAAUGUGGUCACUGUAUUGCAUAUGGACCUUGUGCAUGCUUUCAGUUCCUUGUGCAAUAGUUUGUGACUUAUUCAAGCUAUAAUAAAGACACAGGAAUAUGUACGAGUAAGGGAUAGAUUGUUUGGUUUGAAAUUUAUAAAUUUAAGUGGAUACUACUCCAUCAAAGCUCACUGUUCGUCUAACAUGUUCUUCAUAAGAACUUCAAAAUAAAAUACAUCCUCUAGUACCAUCAAAUUAAUAAAUUGGUCAACAGUCUUUUUAAGUGAACCAUUGCUGAUAAAUUCAUUCAAAUUC